RNAcentral lists this transfer RNA (104 nucleotides) under Colletotrichum incanum. It matches the Rfam family "tRNA". From Rfam's summary of the family: Transfer RNA (tRNA) molecules are approximately 80 nucleotides in length. Their secondary structure includes four short double-helical elements and three loops (D, anti-codon, and T loops). Further hydrogen bonds mediate the characteristic L-shaped molecular structure. tRNAs have two regions of fundamental functional importance: the anti-codon, which is responsible for specific mRNA codon recognition, and the 3' end, to which the tRNAs corresponding amino acid is attached (by aminoacyl-tRNA synthetases). tRNAs cope with the degeneracy of the genetic code in two manners: having more than one tRNA (with a specific anti-codon) for a particular amino acid; and 'wobble' base-pairing, i.e. permitting non-standard base-pairing at the 3rd anti-codon position. The record is from Rfam by way of RNAcentral. Lineage: Eukaryota; Fungi; Ascomycota; Sordariomycetes; Glomerellales; Glomerellaceae.
GGUCUGGUGGUGUAGUUGGUUAUCACGUCAGUCUAACACUUCGAGAAUCUCACCUCUCUCGGAUGUCACACUGAAGGUCUCCGGUUCAAGUCCGGGCUAGAUCA